CGUAAUAGCUCACUGGUCAAGUGAUUCCGCGCCGACAAUGUAGCGGGGCUCAAGCACACCGCCGAAGCCCGUCGGCAGUCCCACGUGCACCCUAGCCUUCGUGGUUCAGGGGUGGGGCUGGGUAGGGGAGCGUCGUGCGGGCAGUGAAGCCCCCGGGUGACCGAGGGGUGGAGGCCGCACGAGUGAGAAUGCAGGCAUGAGUAGCGAAAGACGGGUGGGAAACCCGUCCGCCGGAUGAUCAAGGGUUCCAGGGUCAAGCUCAUCUGCCCUGGGUAAGUCGGGACCUAAGGCGAGGCCGACAGGCGUAGUCGAUGGACAACGGGUCGAUAUUCCCGUACCGGCGAAGGACCGCCCAUGCCGGACAGCCGAUGCUGACCGCCCGGACCCCGCACCCCAUGCCUUCGGGCAUGGACCGCGGGGGCGAGCGCGGGGACCAGAGCUGCGAGGCAAGCGUAUUAACAGGUGUGACGCAGGAAGGCAGCCCGGCCAGGCGAUGGUUGACCUGGUCCAAGGAUGUAGGGCGCGCGGUCGGCAAAUCCGCCGCGCCACGUAGCCUGAGAUCCGACGGGACCCCCUCACGGGGGGAUCGGGUGAUCCUAUGCUGCCGAGAAAAGCAUCGACGCGAGGUCCAGCCGCCCGUACCCCAAACCGACACAGGUGAUCAGGUAGAGAAUACCAAGGCGAUCGAGAGAAUCACGGUCAAGGAACUCGGCAAAAUGCCCCCGUAACUUCGGGAGAAGGGGGACCCUGACCUUGAACAGGCCGCGCGCCUGGGAGGGGAUAUGGGUCGCAGAGACCAGGGGGAAGCGACUGUUUACUAAAAACACAGGUCCGUGCGAAGUCGCAAGACGAUGUAUACGGACUGACUCCUGCCCGGUGCUGGAAGGUUAAGAGGACCCGUCAGCCAGCAAUGGCGAAGCGGAGAAUUCAAGCCCCAGUAAACGGCGGUGGUAACUAUAACCAUCCUAAGGUAGCGAAAUUCCUUGUCGGGUAAGUUCCGACCUGCACGAAUGGAGUAACGACUUCCCCGCUGUCUCGACCGUGAACUCGGCGAAAUUGCACUACGAGUAAAGAUGCUCGUUACGCGCAGCAGGACGGAAAGACCCCGAGACCUUCACUACAGUUUGGUAUUGGUGUUCGGAGCGGCUUGUGUAGGAUAGGUGGGAGACUGUGAAGCGGCACGCCAGUGCCGGUGGAGUCAUCGUUGAAAUACCACUCUGGUCGCUUUGGACACCUGAACCUCGGCCCGUGAUCCGGGUCAGGGACAGUGCCUGACGGGUAGUUUAACUGGGGCGGUUGCCUCCCAAAGAGUAACGGAGGCGCCCAAAGGUCCCCUCAGCCUGGUCGGCAACCAGGUGGCGAGUGCAAGUGCACAAGGGGGCUUGACUGUGAGAGAGACAUCUCGAGCAGGGACGAAAGUCGGGACUAGUGAUCCGGCGGCACCUCGUGGAAGGGCCGUCGCUCAACGGAUAAAAGGUACCUCGGGGAUAACAGGCUGAUCUUGCCCAAGAGUCCAUAUCGACGGCAUGGUUUGGCACCUCGAUGUCGGCUCGUCG
Molecule: ribosomal RNA, 1556 nt
Filed under: Methylobacterium radiotolerans
Lineage: Bacteria; Pseudomonadati; Pseudomonadota; Alphaproteobacteria; Hyphomicrobiales; Methylobacteriaceae
Description: bacterial LSU rRNA
Rfam family: Bacterial large subunit ribosomal RNA
Source: RNAcentral